Long non-coding RNA from Cuculus canorus (common cuckoo), 5967 nucleotides. RefSeq lists it as uncharacterized. Lineage: Eukaryota; Metazoa; Chordata; Aves; Cuculiformes; Cuculidae. The record is from RefSeq and is a predicted model, not a curated record. The transcript has 3 exons.
CCUUAUAAAAAGAGGUACGGUUGCACUGGAGACAGACCAGAAUGCUUCUUCAGCCUCCUUGAAGACAUCUUGUGAUUAGUUGGAAGGAUGAAGCUCCUGGCACUAUGUGGCUUAUUUUUUGUCUUUCUUUUGUGUCUCAAUGUCUUUACAGUGGAAGGUCGGAAGGUUAAAAAAGUCUGCUGCUCAAAACUGCCCAAACCCCACAAAAAAGGUGUACAUUCCAAAAUGACUGCAACCGAAGUAAAGAAGUACUGCAAGCCUUGUCCUCAGCCAGCCCCUCCCGUGGCUCCUGGACCCCUUCCACGGUUAAAAUGAGGAAACUGAGAGCAGACUGAAAAGCAUCUGCCUGCAGUGUUUUUCAGGGUGCUUUUCUUGGUUGAGGGUCCUUCUUUCACAGAUAGGAUUUAAGUGUAUGUUACUUUUAUUUUUGGUGGGGAAAAUACUUCAGUCGGUGCUUUUUAUUUGUUCAGGCUCCUUCAUCUUUUAACAAUGGCCUGGCAGCCAAAGAGUCAGGCAAAGCUGCCUGACUGCCAGCCGACUGUGUGUCAGUCACAUAUUCAUCUGCACCAAAUAGGGAUUUAGCUCCUCAAGUAAGAGAAAAAGGAGAGCUGGCUGAAGAACUGGCUGAAUCACUUUGUCUUGCAUUUUUGGACUGCCUAAAAAUGGGGAAAGGGCUGAUGUUAUUGUUUUUAGUUAUCAGUAUAUAUGCAUGUUUAACCUUUUCUAUGGAUGAUUUAUUUUAUAUUGACAAAAGGAUUUUGUUUGUAGCUAAGCAUAUGAUCUUUUUUCCUGCAGCCUUUGCACUUGGAAGUAGAUUUCUAGCAAGUGAGAAAGAGCUCAUCAUUUAGAAAGGGCUGAGAAAUUAGAUAAGCUGGUUGUUAGAAUAGUGAUAAAGGACGAGUUUCAAGUACGGUGGUAAGCUUUUCAAUACCUCUUCUAGGGGUUUAAAUCUGCCUUUAAGAGUGAACUGUUCUUUAACUUCCUAGAACAAUUCAUCAGGUGGUUAUUAAACAGCAUACUGCAAAGGUGGUAAAGCUAAUUGGGUUAAAUCUCUUCCUCCUGAAGGCAGAAAGCAGCUGUUCUUCUAAAACACCUGAGUCGUGUGAUCACCUUUAAAUAGAACCUACUGGAGCUUGAAAUAAAUGCUAAGAAUAACACCAAAGGGUUGAAUAACAGAGAAACUGAAGCACCCUGUGCUGACAUCCUUGGUAGUGAUUGGGGUCUUCACUCAUGAAUCACCUCACCUUUCCUAACUGUCCUCUGCAUAUGCUCCUAUUUUUCUGCCUGGGGCAAGUCCUUAAACCAGAAUUACAUGGAUGUUCAGUUUUUCUUCUAGUGGAUACAAGGAGUUGUAGAAAGGCAUUCUGCUGUUGGGCAGAACAGAUUGCCAAUAGUAAUUUUUCCCUCAGUACUCAUAGUAAUGCUUUUUCUCUUAACAUAAUUUUCCAUGUAUUAGAAAUGUUCUCUGUGCCCUUCAGAAUUUGGAGGAGCUGAAUGGGGAAAGUCAGAGCCCUGUUGCAACCCACAUAGGCAAAUGCAAUUCCCAAAGAUCAACUUUAUGAGGACUUGUGUGUGGCCGUGCUCUUAUUGGCAAUGUUUCUAUUGUACUGAGCAAUUGAACCUAUUUCUGGGUCUUCUGUGUGCUUGUUAUUACUUAUUUUCUCAUUGGUUUUUAGAUUGGAUAGAUCUGACUCUCAGCUUCCUAUUUUUGAAGACCUGACCACGCAUAGCAUUUUUAUAUCAAGGACAAAGGAUCUGCAAGUCCUUCUUAUGAGAUCUGAGUCAGGAGGGUGGUGAAGAAGCUGUGUUUGAUUGUUCUGCUGCUGAUCACUGGCAAACAUAUUUUAUUUCUGUUUUGUCUUUUGUAGCUCACAGAAGGAAUCUGUAGAAUACAAAUGACAAGCAAAUGUAAAAAGCACUUUUGGUAUGAAAUGUGUUUGCAGCAGGGUUUUACUCUGUGAAAUAUGGCCAUGUGUGUUUAGAGCUCUGAUAAAACAUUUCUAACAGGUAUGAAGAUUCUGUUCUCUAAUAUGAGCUUAAGCCCUUUUAUUAUAUCUGAAAAAUACUAUAUGAUUUUUCUUUUGCCCUACACCCUCCAACCAGUGUGCUCCGCAUUCUCUGAUACUCGUUCAAGCAAGAUGUUCUCUCUGAUAGCAAACACCUGAGCCCUGAAGAAAAUUAGCACAAUUGGAGAGACACUCUGGGUCUCUGGAGGGAUGCAGGACAUCAUCCAGUGCACUGGAUUGGUUUUACUCAGUUUCCCAGACUACUUGAGGGCUACUUGAGUUAAAAAUAUUACUUAUGUGAGGCCCUGCUCUUUACUGAACAGACUAAAGCAAGUAUCCUCGAAUAUUUCAGCAUGGAUUAUGACUACUGCCCAAACACACUUCUUUGCCCUGUCUAGAGGUAUUGGGAUGUCACGUGUCAGCCUCUGAAGGUGAUUCCUCAACAGUCGUUGUCUCUUAUGUACCUGGUCAUUUUCCUCAUGUGGUAGAACCGCGCUGCCAUCUGGUUAUGGCUUCACUUACAGGCAUCUGUUCUUCCUUUUGUUUUCCUUUUGUGUCUCUGUAUGUUUGUUUGGCAUUACCUGAGGAAAACAUAUUUGCUCAGUGGCUUUUCAAAGUACACAAGCUGUAUGCUUACAUAAAGUAGUAAAUUUAGCUUAUCCAAGCUGACAAAUGCAUUUGUUUGUAUCUUGUGUUUUUUGCGUGCAUUUGGCUGUCAAGCAUGAAAAUUGCACAGCCUUCAAGUUCCAAUAGAAAUGUUCCUGUGGUAUCUCUAUGCCUGCCAGAACAGAUGUUGGAUUCGGGAUCAACCUUGUCAACUAAGUGAGCCAGGUGGCUCCUCGCUUUAUAUUUAGAGUCUAAUACCACCAGCUAACACCAAAUUAGUCUGUCUUAUUUGGCACUAUGGCUAUGAAUUGUCAGGAGCACAGGAGAAAUGAUCCCUGCUGACAAGGAAUGUUGGGGUAGAGGCAAGUUUCAGGAUCUCUUCUUUAAAAGUGGGUAAUAGAAGAAAUGAAAUUGUGUUCUUUACGCAAAAUAGGAUCCCUAAAGUUGUAAUGUGGACUUUCACUGUCAGCUUUUCAGCCCUCUAGACUGUGUGGCCCACAACUGACAGAAGCGCCUGGGUAUAGUUGGAGAAUCCAGGAUUUUAACUCUGAAAAAGGUCUGUUUAUACAUAUUAUGAACUACAAUGGCAACUUCUUGGGACCGCAUUUACCAAGGAAAAAAAAAUCCUGCAUGGACAAUAUUAUCUCAAAUAAUAAACUCAGGUAAACCAUUAAAGCAGAGGGACAAAUACUUGCUGUUGUAGAUUAAUAUAUUCUUAUAAGGUAACUCCUGCCUAAACUUAGUGGAAGACUCCUGGUGACUUCAUUGGAUCAAGUCUGGAGAUGUUUUGCCUGAUCCUGUUUUGUCUGACAUUGUUGCGAGCUAUCCCCUCAUGAACUUUAGCAAUGUAUCGUCAGAUGCCAAAUGCAGAUUGGGUUCAUAUACACUUUUUGCUGAAGCUUGUUCUGAGAAGAUUUUGUCCAAAUCUUAGCGAUUACUUUCUCCUGUACGUUGAAGGGUGAGGGGCAAACCCUCUUAGGCAUCAGUCUUUUUUUGCCUCAGAUCAACCAGUUCUUACUAGAUGUGAGCAGGUGUCUUCAUCACAGCUACGUCUCAUCAAGUAUUUUUGUAAUUACUGGUAGGGAGCAAAAAGAGGUCCCUGGUUCUACAUUAAGUGACACGAGCAAGAGUGUUGAUUCCAGCCCAGAUAUGUCUUUGAUUCUCAGUAGCCCUUUGGUAUUGUAAGAUUUAAAGCAGCCAUUGGCUGACCUGCAUUGGUUUUGAACACUUAACUGUCUUAGUGUGCUUUUUCUUUUGAUCUUGGAGCAGGGCUGUCAGCACAGAAGGAAUUUCCUGAAUUUACUUCUAUUUUCAGUGCCUCAGUGGUGGAAAUCUCUGUUAAAAAAGGUCAGUGUCUGGAUAUGAAUUUAUCCAAAUCAUAAUUCAAGCUUUGUGCCAACCUUUGUUUGCAUGUUUCAGAUGCGCUGAUUGUGAAUUUCUUCAGGUGUGAGGGAUUUAAUUCCCCAUUUUCAGGCUGAUGCUCCACAAGGGAGUGGUUAAGGCCAGAGAUUUGCUGUAGGAUAAGCACCUUAUGUUCACAAUGCCAUCUGGUCAGCCUCUGAAAGCAUUAUCGGAGAAAUCAGGUCGGUAUGUGCCUAUGAGAGAUUCUAAACUAAACAUCACUCGUCUGUCUUCUGCAGUAUGACACGGUCACAAAAAUCUCUGUAACCACAAGAAGCUGUCAUACUAAGCUCAGUUUCUGUCGAAGGCUUAAACUGCAUCCAGGAUGUUAGUUCAAGGGCUAGUCAGUCCCAGCUGGCUGCGCAUCAUGGAUACUCAUGGGGGAUGAUUCAAACCUUAUACAGGAGGCUUUUAAGCCAAAGCAUCUGAAAGUUCAGUGCACACAAAUAUGCCUGUUCAAUGGAUGGUUGUGGCUGAUUGUCCACGAGGCAGUUGUACAGUCUCUUAACUAUAUUAAGGUGCACAUGCACUUAUGGUAAAUGUAGUGCAGUCAAAGCAAUUAAUCUAUCCUAGCUAAUAGGAUCUCUAAGUACAAAAGCUAAACAGCAGCAGGGUUUCCCUCAUCUGACAGGUAAGAUGGCGCUUAUAACUUAGGUCAGUGAAGAAGAGUGGAUUUCUGUAGGGUUCUGUGGUGUUGUUUGGUCAUUGUCACUGAUCCCAGACUUGGGGAGGAGGAAGACAUUUUCCUGAGGCACAACUAAGCUAAACUGUAGCCAGUGCAGCUUGCCUGGUCUCUGAAAAUCAAAUCUCUGUAGCACACUCUUCAAAUCAGUUCCCAGAACUGAAGUGCACUGGAAAAAACUCUCUUUGCUAAGGAGAUUCUCGAGACAAAGCAUCCCAUUUGCAAUGUUGCAGAGCCCUGUGUCAGUGCCAGCUGUAUGGCAUCUUCACUGAGCAAGGCUAAAACCUAUUUGCAUCCCAGAGUUUUCCCCAAGAGAUGAAUAAGCCUGGGAAGAAAGAUGUUUUCAUAUAAAAAAUAUGUGAAGUCCGUCUGUUUACAAAUGCUUUCAGAGAAACUGUGAGAUGGUUGAAAACAAGGUUCUGAUGGAGAUGAGGUAAUGCAGGAGUGUCUGCGAGUCCCUCCUUAAAGUGUUCUUCUCAAUUCGUUGGCUUCCAAUUGUUAACUUUUCCUUACUUGGGAGACAAUAAACAAUGGCAAUUGUCAUUGGGCUCUUAUCUUGAAGUUGUUUGAAUGGACCAAGGUUAAACAAUUCAGCAUUAUACUUAGUUAAAGAUAUACCAAAACUGCUGCUUUCUUCUGCAAAAGUCUUCAGAUGAGUGAUUGUUGAAAAGAGAGAUUAAAAGAAAAUCUGAGCUGAAGUUAUGUCUAGCAAAGCACUAUGUUCUUUAACAUUGUAAUCUCCGCCUUUGAAAGGAACUCCCCUGGAUUUCCACCAAUUUAAGUCAAGACUCAAUAGUUUUGAAAGCAGAUCCUUAAGUCUGAACAGUGAAGUAAAACUGUUCUUCAUAAUUUUAUUAUAAGAUGUGCUUUGCACCUUUUCCUAUCUUUUGAACAAAACUUUCUCUCAAUUUCUUUGCCCGGCUUUCUGUCCAGUGCUUUAUUCUGUUCCUAGAUAUGAUUUUAUGUUUUGAUGCCAAAUUUUCCUCGCUGGGUGUUCUCACUGACUAGAAAUGUCAUCUUUUUUUGUCUUGGUGUGAUGGUCCCGCACCAAUUUUUUUUGACUAUGUGGGAUCUUAUCUCAGAGAAAUUCUUCUGUUGACUGAAUUUCUUGAAGUUUUUGUCCUUGUGCUGGACUACUUUAAUUUGACUCCGUUAAUUUCUGUCCAUGAGACUGACUGGAGUGCACCUUCUCAAAAAGAUGUGCUAUAAAAUGGUGCUGCAUUGUAGUUACUGUUUCCAGACACUAUUUUUUUACCAAGGACAUUUUCAGUU